Molecule: ribosomal RNA, 468 nt
Filed under: uncultured bacterium
Lineage: Bacteria
Description: partial 16S ribosomal RNA
Rfam family: Bacterial small subunit ribosomal RNA
Source: RNAcentral
GACGAACGCUGGCGGCGUGCUUAACACAUGCAAGUCGAACGGAAAAGCCCCGCUUUUUUUGGGUGCUCUGGUGGCGAACGGGUCAGUAACACGGGCGGAACCGUCCCUUGACUUUGGGAUAACUUCAGGAAAGUGGGGGCAAUUGCGGAUAGGAGGUCCUGCUGCAUGGUGGGGGGAGGAUAGUUUCGGCGGUUGGGGAUGGACUCGCGGCUUAUCAGCUUGUUGGUGGGGUAGUGGCUUACCAAGGCUUUGACGGGUAGCCGGCCUGAGAGGGUGACCGGCCACAUUGGGACUGAGAUGCGGCCCAGACUCCUACGGGAGGCAGCAGUGGGGAAUAUUGCACAAUGGGCGGAAGCCUGAUGCAGCAACGCCGCGUGCGGGAUGACGGCCUUCGGGUUGUAAACCGCUUUCGCCUGUGACGAAGCGUGAGUGACGGUAAUGGGUAAAGAAGCACCGGCUAACUACGUG